This 46-nucleotide non-coding RNA is filed under the name Schistosoma curassoni. The record is from RNAcentral. Lineage: Eukaryota; Metazoa; Platyhelminthes; Trematoda; Strigeidida; Schistosomatidae.
GCACUGCUGAGGAGUGCCACAAUAGGACGAAACGGCUGUUCAGUGC